CACUUCUAAGGAAGGCAGCAGGCGCGCAAAUUACCCAAUCCUGACUCAGGGAGGUAGUGACAAGAAAUAACAAUAAACCGGCUUAUGCCGGUUUAAUUGGAAUGAGUACAAUUUAAACAUCUUAACGAGGAACAAUUGGAGGGCAAGUCUGGUGCCAGCAGCCGCGGUAAUUCCAGCUCCAAUAGCGUAUACUAAAGUUGUUGCAGUUAAAAAGCUCGUAGUUGGAUUUCUGUGGGGACGGAGCGGCCGGCCGCAACUCGCGGUUCGAGCUAGCGCUUUCCCUACAUCCUGCCGCGAACCGUGCUACCAUUAAUUUGGUGGCGCCGGGGAUCGGCUCGAUUACUUUGAGAAAAAUAGAGUGUUCAAAGCAGGCCACACGCCUUGAAUAAGUUAGCAUGGAAUAAUAACUAAGGACUUCGGUUCUAUUUUGUUGGUGUUCGGGACUGAAGUAAUGAUUGAUAGGGACAGUUGGGGCGGUCUGUAUUCCAAAGCGAGAGGUGAAAUUCUUAGACCUUCGGAAGACAAACAGCUGCGAAAGCGUUCCGCAAGGAUGUUCCCUUUGAUCAAGAACGAAAGUUGGGGGAUCGAAGACGAUCAGAUACCGUCGUAGUCUCAACUAUAAACUAUACCAGCUAGGGAUCGGCCAACGUUAUUCUAUACCGACUUGGUCGGCACCUUAUGAGAAAUCAAAGCAUCUGGGUUCCGGGGGGAGUAUGGUCGCAAGGCUGAAACUUAAAGGAAUUGACGGAAGGGCACCACCAGCCGUGGAGCCUGUGGCUUAAUUUGACUCAACACGGGAAAACUUACCAGGUCCAGACAUAGUAAGGAUUGACAGAUUGAUAGCUCUUUCUUGAUUCUGUGGGUGGUGGUGCAUGGCCGUUCUUAGUUGGUGGAGUGAUUUGUCUGGUUAAUUCCGUUAACGAACGAGACCCCAGCCUGCUAAAUAGCGCGUGUGAGCUUUGCUCGCAGCGAGCUUCUUAGAGGGACUAUGAUGCGCGAUAGCACAUGGAAGUUUGGGGCAAUAACAGGUCUGUGAUGCCCUUAGAUGUUCUGGGCCGCACACGGGCUACACUGGCGCCUGCAACGAGCAUAUCAGCUGGCCCGAGAGGGUCUUGGCUAAUCUUUUGAACCGGCGCCGUGCUUGGGAUUGACCUUUGCAAUUGUUGGUCAUGCAACGAGGAAUGCCUUGUAAACGCGAGUCAUCAGCUCGCAUUGAAUACGUCCCUGCCCUUUGUACACACCGCCCGUCGCUCCUACCGAUGAAUGUUCCGAUGAAAUUUUCGGAGAGUGCCUGUGAACUUGGCUCUGCCUUGCGAACGGGAAGCUCAAAGUCACUUAAAUCUGAACAUUUCGAGG
RNAcentral lists this ribosomal RNA (1356 nucleotides) under uncultured marine eukaryote. RNAcentral describes it as "SSU rRNA". It matches the Rfam family "Eukaryotic small subunit ribosomal RNA", at positions 411 to 1779 of the family's 1831-position model. The record is from RNAcentral.